Molecule: small RNA, 491 nt
Filed under: Pongo abelii (Sumatran orangutan)
Lineage: Eukaryota; Metazoa; Chordata; Mammalia; Primates; Hominidae
Description: processed transcript
Source: RNAcentral
GCUUUUUUUUUUUUUUUAACAGGGUCUCACUCUGUUGCCUAGGCUCGAGGGCAGUGGCAAGAUCAUAGCUCACUGCAGCCUCGAACUCCGGGGCUCAAGGGGUCCUCCCACCUCAGCCUUCUGAGUAGUUUGGACUAUAGGUGCAUGCCACCACAUCUGGCUAUUUUUUUUUUUUCAUUUUUAAUUUUUGUAGAGAGGGAGUCUCGCUAUGUUGCCCAGUGGUCACGAGUCUUGGCAAGAAAGUCUGAAGAUGGGACCAGCUGCACAUGUUUUACCCUAAGAGCUUGCUAUAUAAAGGAUACUUUCUGGAAGGCUGGUUUGAGGAUUCAGUCUUGCAGCCACCUGAGACAUCACUUCUGUUCGUAAGUCCCUCUUAUAUAUUUCUGAGAAAAUGGAUUUGUCAACCUCUUUCUUUGGCUUCUCAGCUCCCUCGGCCUUUGGGUUUGCAUACUCCUGCUAUCCGUGGAACAAUGGCUCACAAGGGCCAACAC